GAUGAAGAACGUAGCGAAAUGCGAUACGUAAUGUGAAUUGCAAAUUCAGUGAAUCAUCGAGUCUUUGAACGCACAUUGCGCCCCCUGGUAUUCCGGGGGGCAUGCCUGUCCGAGCGUCAUUGCUGCCCUCAAGCACGGCUUGUGUGUUGGGCCCCGUCCUCCGAUCCCGGGGGACGGGCCCGAAAGGCAGCGGCGGCACCGCGUCCGGUCCUCGAGCGUAUGGGGCUUUGUCACCCGCUCUGUAGGCCCGGCCGGCGCUUGCCGAUCAACCCAAAUUUUUUAUCCAGGUUGACCUCGGAUCAGGUAGGGAUACCCGCUGAUCUUAGGCAUAUCAAUAAGCGGAGGA
This 346-nucleotide unclassified non-coding RNA is filed under the name soil metagenome. RNAcentral describes it as "partial contains 5.8S ribosomal RNA, internal transcribed spacer 2, and large subunit ribosomal RNA". The stretch from base 1 to 119 matches the Rfam family "5.8S ribosomal RNA", at positions 35 to 154 of the family's 154-position model. The record is from RNAcentral.